GACGAACGCUGGCGGCGUGCCUAAUACAUGCAAGUAGAACGCUGAAGGAGGAGCUUGCUCUUCUGGAUGAGUUGCGAACGGGUGAGUAACGCGUAGGUAACCUGCCUGGUAGCGGGGGAUAACUAUUGGAAACGAUAGCUAAUACCGCAUAACAGUAGAUGUUGCAUGACAUUUGCUUAAAAGGUGCAAUUGCACCACUACCAGAUGGACCUGCGUUGUAUUAGCUAGUUGGUGGGGUAACGGCUCACCAAGGCGACGAUACAUAGCCGACCUGAGAGGGGGAUCGGCCACACUGGGACUGAGACACGGCCCAGACUCCUACGGGAGGCAGCAGUAGGGAAGCUUCGGCAAUGGACGGAAGUCUGACCGAGCAACGCCGCGUGAGUGAAGAAGGUUUUCGGAUCGUAAAGCUCUGUUGUAAGAGAAGAACGAGUGUGAGAGUGGAAAGUUCACACUGUGACGGUAUCUUACCAGAAAGGGACGGCUAACUACGUG
This 495-nucleotide ribosomal RNA is filed under the name uncultured bacterium. RNAcentral's name for it is "partial 16S ribosomal RNA". It matches the Rfam family "Bacterial small subunit ribosomal RNA", at positions 28 to 507 of the family's 1533-position model. The record is from RNAcentral.